GUCCUAGCCCUAAAACGAUCAGGACUUGGGGUGCCGCACGUUCGUGCGUCGUCCCGGAGCUAACGCGUUAAGUCCUGCACCUGGGGAGUACGGUCGCAAGACUGAAACUCAAAGGAAUUGACGGGGGCCCGCACAAGCGGUGGAACAUGUGGUUCAAUUCGACGCUACGCGAGGAACCUUACCUGGGCUCGAAAUGCUUCUGACCAGCUGUAGAAAUAUGGCCUUCCCGCAAGGGACAGGAGUAUAGGCGCUGCAUGGCUGUCGU
This 265-nucleotide ribosomal RNA is filed under the name uncultured bacterium. Its description in RNAcentral is "partial 16S ribosomal RNA". It matches the Rfam family "Bacterial small subunit ribosomal RNA", at positions 793 to 1055 of the family's 1533-position model. The record is from RNAcentral.